This 965-nucleotide ribosomal RNA is filed under the name uncultured bacterium. Its description in RNAcentral is "bacterial SSU rRNA". It matches the Rfam family "Bacterial small subunit ribosomal RNA", at positions 8 to 1006 of the family's 1533-position model. The record is from RNAcentral.
AGAGUUUGAUCCUGGCUCAGAAUCAACGCUGGCGGCGUGCCUAACACAUGCGAGUCGAACGAGAAAGUGGAGCAAUCCAUGAGUAAAGUGGCGACCGGGUGAGUAACACGUGACUAACCUGCCCUCGAGUGGGGGAUAACCCCGGGAAACCGGGGCUAAUACCGCAUAACAUCGCAAGAUCAAAGUAGCAAUACGCUUGAGGAGGGGGUCGCGGCUGAUUAGCUAGUUGGUAGGGUAACGGCCUACCAAGGCUGAGAUCGGUAUCCGGCCUGAGAGGGCGCACGGACACACUGGAACUGAAACACGGUCCAGACUCCUACGGGAGGCAGCAGUGGGGAAUUUUGCGCAAUGGGGGAAACCCUGACGCAGCAACGCCGCGUGGAGGAUGAAGUCCUUUGGGACGUAAACUCCUUUCGACCCGGACGAUACUGACGGUACGGGUGGAAGAAGCACCGGCUAACUCUGUGCCAGCAGCCGCGGUAAUACAGAGGGUGCGAGCGUUGUUCGGAAUUAUUGGGCGUAAAGGGCGCGUAGGCGGUGCGGUAAGUCACCUGUGAAGUCUCCUGGCUCAACUGGGAGCUUGCAGGCGAAACUGCCGUGCUGGAGUGUGGGAGAGGUGCGUGGAAUUCCUGGUGUAGCGGUGAAAUGCGUAGAUAUCAGGAGGAACACCUGUGGCGAAAGCGGCGCACUGGACCACAACUGACGCUGAGGCGCGAAAGCUAGGGGAGCAAACAGGAUUAGAUACCCUGGUAGUCCUAGCCCUAAACUAUGGAUGCUUGCUGUGAUCGGUACCCAAUCCGAUCGUGGCGCAGCUAACGCGUUAAGCAUCCCGCCCGGGGAGUACGGUCGCAAGGCUGAACUCAAGGAAUUGACGGGGGCCCGCACAAGCGGUGGAGCAUGUGGUUCAAUUCGACGCAACGCGAAGAACCUUACCUGGGCUCGAAGCGCAGUGGAAUGAGGUGAAC